RNAcentral lists this ribosomal RNA (301 nucleotides) under uncultured bacterium. RNAcentral describes it as "partial 16S ribosomal RNA". It matches the Rfam family "Bacterial small subunit ribosomal RNA", at positions 509 to 807 of the family's 1533-position model. The record is from RNAcentral.
CAGCAGCCGCGGGAAUACGGAGGGUGCGAGCGUUAAUCGGAAUUACUGGGCGUAAAGCGUACGCAGGCGGUUCGUUAAGACAGACGUGAAAUCCCCGGGCUUAACCUGGGAACUGCAUUUGUGACUGGCGAGCUAGAGUAUGGCAGAGGGGGGUAGAAUUCCACGUGUAGCAGUGAAAUGCGUAGAGAUGUGGAGGAAUACCGAUGGCGAAGGCAGCCCCCUGGGCCAAUACUGACGCUCAUGCACGAAAGCGUGGGGAGCAAACAGGAUUAGAGACCCCCGUAGUCCCUGUCUCUUAUAC